GAUGAACGCUAGCUACAGGCUUAACACAUGCAAGUCGAGGGGAAACGAUAUUGGAAGCUUGCUUCCGAUAGGCGUCGACCGGCGCACGGGUGAGUAACGCGUAUCCAACCUGCCCGUCACUUGGGAAUAACCUUGCGAAAGUAAGACUAAUGCCCAAUGACAUUUAUAGAAGGCAUCUGAAAUGAAUUAAAGAUUUAUCGGUGAUGGAUGGGGAUGCGUCUGAUUAGCUUGUUGGCGGGGUAACGGCCCACCAAGGCGACGAUCAGUAGGGGUUCUGAGAGGAAGGUCCCCCACAUUGGAACUGAGACACGGUCCAAACUCCUACGGGAGGCAGCAGUGAGGAAUAUUGGUCAAUGGGCGCAAGCCUGAACCAGCCAAGUAGCGUGAGGGAAGACUGCCCUACGGGUUGUAAACCUCUUUUGUUUGGGAAUAAAGUGCGGGACGUGUCCCGCAUUGCAUGUACCAUUUGAAUAAGGACCGGCUAAUUCCGUA
This 492-nucleotide ribosomal RNA is filed under the name uncultured bacterium. RNAcentral's name for it is "bacterial SSU rRNA". It matches the Rfam family "Bacterial small subunit ribosomal RNA", at positions 28 to 507 of the family's 1533-position model. The record is from RNAcentral.